RNAcentral lists this ribosomal RNA (521 nucleotides) under uncultured bacterium. Its description in RNAcentral is "bacterial SSU rRNA". It matches the Rfam family "Bacterial small subunit ribosomal RNA", at positions 966 to 1482 of the family's 1533-position model. The record is from RNAcentral.
CCUUAACCAAAUCUUUGAACCAAUUCCUCUUGGACGAAAGUAUGUAAUGAACUCUUUCUUCGGAACAAGAGUGACAGGUGGUGCAUGGUUGUCGUCAGCUCGUGUCGUGAGAUGUUGGGUUAAGUCCCGCAACGAGCGCAACCCUUGUCCUUAGUAGCCAGCAAUUCGGUUGGGCACUCUAGGGAGACUGCCCGGGUGAACCGGGAGGAAGGUGGGGAUGACGUCAAAUCAUCAUGCCCCUUAUGAUUUGGGCUACACACGUGCUACAAUGGCGUAAACAAAGGGAAGCAAUUGGGUGACCAUGAGCAAAUCUCAAAAAUAACGUCUCAGUUCGGAUUGUAGUCUGCAACUCGACUACAUGAAGCUGGAAUCGCUAGUAAUCGCGAAUCAGAAUGUCGCGGUGAAUACGUUCCCGGGUCUUGUACACACCGCCCGUCACACCAUGGGAGUUGGGAAUGCCCGAAGCCGGUGACCUAACCGUAAGGAAGGAGCCGUCGAAGGCAGGAUCGAUAACUGGGGUG